RNAcentral lists this unclassified non-coding RNA (404 nucleotides) under Hevea brasiliensis (rubber tree). Lineage: Eukaryota; Viridiplantae; Streptophyta; Magnoliopsida; Malpighiales; Euphorbiaceae. The record is from RNAcentral.
AGAGAGAGAGAGAGAGAGCUCCAAUAAGGAAGGACAACAACAACACAAACAUACUCGUAGCCAUGGCUUCUUUAUGGGAUUAUGCUUUAGGGGCCUUUAGAGGAGGUUUUUGAGCGUUUUUCAGUAAGAUCAGGGGGCACUCCUCUAUUCUGUUGUCACGUGUUUGUUAUCUGUUUUGCUAUUGCUGUGUUUCGGUUAAGUGAAGAAGUUUCCUGUCUUUCUUUAAUAAACUAUUUUUUUUCUUGUAAAAAGAAAAAAAAAUUUCUAUUGAUCCAAUCAAAACAAUCUCCUUGGAUUCAUACAAAGAACUAUAUGCAUCGAGAAUGUCGGCCAUCAAGUUCUAAUACCAUGUAGAGAAAAUAGACGCAAUCUAACUCAAUCCUAAAAGCUAGCUCAAGGGGAGG